Molecule: long non-coding RNA, 1024 nt
Filed under: Homo sapiens (human)
Lineage: Eukaryota; Metazoa; Chordata; Mammalia; Primates; Hominidae
Description: HSALNT0333985
Source: RNAcentral
AUUACAGGUGUCUGCCACUACAUCUGGCCAGCUUAAGUACAACAUUUAUUAACCAGUAUUGUGUUCUUGAGUGAUUGUUUUUUUCCUCCCUCUCCACUUUAUUUCUUCCAGCUUCAUCCUGGUUGCCUGUUAGAAUCACCUGGGGAGCUUUUAAAAUCCCAGUGAUCAAGUGCCCCUCAGACCUCUUAGCCGAGGAAUUCUGGGGGCGGGGCCCAGCAUCAGUGUUUUUUCAAGCCCUUCCAGGUGACUUCAAUGCACAGGCAGCGAGAACUCCUGCAUGAAGGCUUCUGGAGAAGUAGGAAGGCUUAGAAUGUCGCUCACUCAUCUUUCACUUCCUGUAGCAACUGUUUCGUGCUCUUAAGUCUGGUGCGUCCAUGUCUGUCUGCACCUGGAUGGCAUCGCCUCUCCAUCUCGAGGACGCCAUCUGGAGGGGUUAAAAUGAAGCGAUUCAGUCAAGAUACGUGUGGCGCACAUGAUCCUGCAGAGGUGGAAGCCCACGCCAAGAUAUUCUGGCAGCACCUACCCUGACUUCCAUAUUACACAGAAAGUUGUCAGCCUGGGUGAAGAAGGAACCAGGGCACCCAACUCAUCUGACUGAAAAACAAAACACCACAAGAGGAAUCCCAAGACCUAACCAAAAGAUAAUCUAGACUAUGGUAACAGAAGGAAUUCAGCGUUAAUGCCCUUGAAUUAAGAGUUUCCUCCAGAGAAUAGAGAUACAAAUAAUGACUAUGAAUGACCAUUAAGCCUUAAUGUGCAUAUAAGAAGCACUUGGACUACAAGCUCUUACCAAUUGCUCCCUUUUUGCAGAUAAAGACACAGAGUGCUUCCUGAGAAGUCACACACAGGCAGUGGUAGAGCCAGGUUUAAAUUCAGACCCUGUGUGUCCCCAGAAAAUCAGGUUUUUUGGACUCAUACUGCCUCAUAACUAGACAUUAUGGCUCUUGGUAGUCUGUUUUUUUAUUUUUAUUUUUGAGACAAGAGUUUCACUCUGUCACCCCAGGCAUCGUGCAGUGGCAUGAUC